UACGGAGGGGGCUAGCGUUGUUCGGAUUUACUGGGCGUAAAGCGCACGUAGGCGGCUUUUUAAGUCAGGGGUGAAAUCCUGGAGCUCAACUCCAGAACUGCCUUUGAUACUGAGAAGCUUGAGUCCGGGAGAGGUGAGUGGAACUGCGAGUGUAGAGGUGAAAUUCGUAGAUAUUCGCAAGAACACCAGUGGCGAAGGCGGCUCACUGGACUGGUAUUGACGCUGAGGUGCGAAAGCGUGGGGAGCAAACAGG
This 253-nucleotide ribosomal RNA is filed under the name uncultured bacterium. RNAcentral's name for it is "partial 16S ribosomal RNA". It matches the Rfam family "Bacterial small subunit ribosomal RNA", at positions 524 to 776 of the family's 1533-position model. The record is from RNAcentral.